Molecule: transfer RNA, 73 nt
Filed under: Stegodyphus mimosarum
Lineage: Eukaryota; Metazoa; Arthropoda; Arachnida; Araneae; Eresidae
Rfam family: tRNA
About the family: Transfer RNA (tRNA) molecules are approximately 80 nucleotides in length.
Source: Rfam by way of RNAcentral
ACCUUUGUGAUGUAGUGGUCAGCAUGCUGGGCUUGUAUUCCAGAGGUCUGUGGUUCGUAUCCCGGCGAAGGCG